GCGCCCGUAGCUCAAUAGGAUAGAGCAUCGGACUUCUAAUCCGAGGGUUGUGGGUUCGAUUCCCGCCGGGCGCACCA
RNAcentral lists this transfer RNA (77 nucleotides) under Thermotoga sp. RNAcentral describes it as "tRNA-Arg". It matches the Rfam family "tRNA". From Rfam's summary of the family: Transfer RNA (tRNA) molecules are approximately 80 nucleotides in length. Their secondary structure includes four short double-helical elements and three loops (D, anti-codon, and T loops). Further hydrogen bonds mediate the characteristic L-shaped molecular structure. tRNAs have two regions of fundamental functional importance: the anti-codon, which is responsible for specific mRNA codon recognition, and the 3' end, to which the tRNAs corresponding amino acid is attached (by aminoacyl-tRNA synthetases). tRNAs cope with the degeneracy of the genetic code in two manners: having more than one tRNA (with a specific anti-codon) for a particular amino acid; and 'wobble' base-pairing, i.e. permitting non-standard base-pairing at the 3rd anti-codon position. RNAcentral also lists the same sequence under 5 other names. The record is from RNAcentral. Lineage: Bacteria; Thermotogati; Thermotogota; Thermotogae; Thermotogales; Thermotogaceae.